CGAGUUAGCAACUCGGCAUUCUCUUGUAACUCGUAUGAUGAAACAACCCCUAGUGGGAGAGGGGCUAAGUUGAAGUUGGUACAGUUACAGCUCUUGAUGAUAAGCGGUCUAAACAUAGACUUGGAAGUAUUUCAGCAGUAUCUAGGGAAGAUGAUGGUCACUCAGUCUCAGCAGGUCUCUCAGUAAAGUGACAGUUGCGGAAACAGAAAACUGCCUGACUUUCAAAGCCAUUGUGGAACUCCGAAAAAAAAGUUAAUGCCAACAAGCCAUUGUGAUUCAAUAUUUCGAACUUGAUUUGUUCAAUUGCAGAAUUCAUACUAUCUUAAAUUUUAGUAAGAUUAUUCAUUUACCUUGUCAUCGAAGAAGAAAAUGCAUGGUUAUGGAGAGAUGCUGUUUCAGUACACAAAGAAUGUUGGUUUAUAUGCACGCCUGACGCAAACGAUUCUUAAAUAUGGUUCUAUAUUAUAAACUCUAGUGACGCUUUAAUAUAAUAGCCUUAUAAUUAUCGACAAAAAUGCUGAUAUAAACAGGACUGUAAGCGUAACAGUAAAUACUUAAGCCAAAUGAUAUGUGAAGGGGUAUGUCCCUACCCUAUGAAGAACAGCUGAUAUUUUUAAUUAAAGAAAUUAUGGUUUGUA
This is a long non-coding RNA of Anneissia japonica, 638 nucleotides long. RefSeq lists it as uncharacterized. NCBI's taxonomy places the organism in Eukaryota, Metazoa, Echinodermata, Crinoidea, Comatulida, Comatulidae. The record is from RefSeq and is a predicted model, not a curated record. The transcript has 3 exons.